Molecule: ribosomal RNA, 820 nt
Filed under: uncultured Geobacter sp.
Lineage: Bacteria; Pseudomonadati; Thermodesulfobacteriota; Desulfuromonadia; Geobacterales; Geobacteraceae
Description: bacterial SSU rRNA
Rfam family: Bacterial small subunit ribosomal RNA
Source: RNAcentral
CUUGCGGGUGCUACCUGCAAGUCGAACGUGAUCCGCCCUUCGGGGUGGUGAAAGUGGCGCACGGGUGAGUAACGCGUGGAUAAUCUGCCCGAGGAUUUGGGAUAACAUCUCGAAAGGGGUGCUAAUACCGAAUAAGCCCACGGGGUCUACGGAUCUUGCGGGAAAAGGGGGGGACCUUCGGGCCUCCUGUCCUUGGAUGAGUCUGCGUACCAUUAGCUAGUUGGUGGGGUAAUGGCCUACCAAGGCGACGAUGGUUAGCUGGUCUGAGAGGAUGAUCAGCCACACUGGAACUGAGACACGGUCCAGACUCCUACGGGAGGCAGCAGUGGGGAAUUUUGCGCAAUGGGGGAAACCCUGACGCAGCAACGCCGCGUGGGUGAUGAAGGCCUUCGGGUCGUAAAGCUCUGUCUGGAGGGAAGAAAUGAUUGGGAGCUAAUACCUCUUGAUCUUGACGGUACCUCUGAAGGAAGCACCGGCUAACUCCGUGCCAGCAGCCGCGGUAAUACGGAGGGUGCAAGCGUUGUUCGGAAUUAUUGGGCGUAAAGCGCGUGUAGGCGGUCUUUUAAGUCUGAUGUGAAAGCCCCGGGCUCAACCUGGGAAGUGCAUUGGAAACUGGGAGGCUUGAGUACGGGAGAGGAGAGUGGAAUUCCUAGUGUAGGAGUGAAAUCCGUAGAUAUUAGGAGGAACACCGGUGGCGAAGGCGGCUCUCUGGACCGAUACUGACGCUGAGACGCGAAAGCGUGGGUAGCAAACAGGAUUAGAUACCCUGGUAGUCCACGCCGUAAACGAUGAGUACUAGUGUUGCGGGUAUUGACCCCUG